Molecule: long non-coding RNA, 371 nt
Filed under: Parus major (Great Tit)
Lineage: Eukaryota; Metazoa; Chordata; Aves; Passeriformes; Paridae
Description: lncRNA (ENSPMJG00000003041.1)
Source: RNAcentral
AGGUCCUGAUCCCAAAUUCCCACAGGAAUUGUGGAUGAUGUCAGGGUCAGGAUUGGGGUCAGGGUCAGGAUCGGGGACGGGAUUUGGGGCAGGUCCUGAUCCCAAAUUCCCACAGGAAUUGUGGAUGAUGUCAGGAUCAGGAUUGGGGUCAGGAUCAGGAUCGGGGACGGGAUUUGGGGCAGGUCCUGAUCCCGAAUUCCCACGGCAGGAAUUGUGGAUGAUGUCAGGAUCAGGAACGGGAUCAGGAUCAGGGCUGGGAUUUGGGGAUGGAUCUGAUCCCAAAUUCCCACGGCAGGAAUUGCGAUCAGGAUCAGGAUCGGGGUCAGGAUUUUGGGGCCGAAUCUGAUCCCGAAUUUCCACAGGAACUGGAA